GCCGGGCACAGGGGAGUGUGCCUGUAGUCCCAGCUACUCGGGAGGCUGAGGUGGGAGGAUUGCUUGAGCCCAGGAGUUCUGGGCUAUAGUGCACUAAGCCGAUUGGGUGUCCACACUAAAUUCGGCAUCAAUAUGGUGACCUCCCGGGAGCAGGGGACCACCAGGUUGCCUAAGGAAUGGUGAACCAACCCAGGUCAGAAACGGAGCAGGUCAAAACUCCCGUGCUGAUCAGUAGUGGGAUUGUGCCUGUGAGUAGCCACUGCACUCCAGCCUGGGCAACAUAGUGAGACCCAAUCUCUA
Callithrix jacchus (white-tufted-ear marmoset) is the source of this 300-nucleotide unclassified non-coding RNA. It matches the Rfam family "Metazoan signal recognition particle RNA". From Rfam's summary of the family: The signal recognition particle (SRP) is a universally conserved ribonucleoprotein. It is involved in the co-translational targeting of proteins to membranes. The eukaryotic SRP consists of a 300-nucleotide 7S RNA and six proteins: SRPs 72, 68, 54, 19, 14, and 9. The record is from Ensembl. Lineage: Eukaryota; Metazoa; Chordata; Mammalia; Primates; Cebidae.